CCUACGGGGGGCAGCAGUGGGGAAUAUUGGACAAUGGGGGCAACCCUGAUCCAGCCAUGCCGCGUGUGUGAAGAAGGCCCUCGGGUUGUAAAGCACUUUCAGUGAGGAAGAACGCCUGGUGGUGAAUACCCAUCAGGAAAGACAUCACUCACAGAAGAAGCACCGGCUAACUCCGUGCCAGCAGCCGCGGUAAUACGGAGGGUGCGAGCGUUAAUCGGAAUUACUGGGCGUAAAGCGCGCGUAGGUGGCUUGAUAAGCCGGUUGUGAAAGCCCCGGGCUCAACCUGGGAACGGCAUCCGGAACUGUCAAGCUAGAGUGCAGGAGAGGAAGGUAGAAUUCCCGGUGUAGCGGUGAAAUGCGUAGAGAUCGGGAGGAAUACCAGUGGCGAAGGCGGCCUUCUGGACUGACACUGACACUGAGGUGCGAAAGCGUGGGUAGCAAACAGGAUUAGAUACCCCUGUAGUC
RNAcentral lists this ribosomal RNA (465 nucleotides) under Vreelandella stevensii. Its description in RNAcentral is "partial 16S ribosomal RNA". It matches the Rfam family "Bacterial small subunit ribosomal RNA", at positions 338 to 795 of the family's 1533-position model. The record is from RNAcentral. Lineage: Bacteria; Pseudomonadati; Pseudomonadota; Gammaproteobacteria; Oceanospirillales; Halomonadaceae.